RNAcentral lists this long non-coding RNA (5727 nucleotides) under Daucus carota (carrot). RNAcentral's name for it is "long non-coding RNA (DCAR_LNC003448)". Lineage: Eukaryota; Viridiplantae; Streptophyta; Magnoliopsida; Apiales; Apiaceae. The record is from RNAcentral.
AGAAAAAGUUAUAAUGAAACAAAAUAAAAUUAGAUAUAUAUAAGGUGUGAGAUAAAUAUAAGUAUAACAGUGUAGAAAGUAUAAGUAAAUGCCAUAGUGGCCGACCACCUAUUUAAUGCUGUUACAUGUCAGCAAAGACACGUCAUUCUGUGAAAAUUUUCUGUAGCCGUUUCUGUGUCCCUAGCAUUACUCUUAAUUUUUUGCACAAGGUAUAGCCAAUCAUUCUCCUGUUCUCCUAGUGAAUCUAAUGUUGUUCAACAAGGAAAUCAGAUAACACUCUCCGCAUGUAGAUACCGGUGUCAACCAUCGUGUUCGAGAAGUUCAGUGCAUAGCUAUGUUCGUGGAACUUCAGUGCAUAGCUAUUAAUAACGGCUUUUCGAUUUCAAAUUAUAGCAAUGGUUAUAGACAUUUUAGCUUUAGUAUAGUACUUGAUGUUGGAUCCAACACCAGUAAUCGCAGGGCAGUAAGUGCCCACAAUCUGAAUUCUGAGAGAAUGCAAGGUAAUGAUUCAUAUAGAAGUUACUAGUUUAUUACAUCUUGGCCUAUACAUGUAUGCAUAUAUUGGUGGGCUGAUUCUUGAUAGUUAGAUGCAGGAGAUAUCACAAGAUACAAAAGAAGUGCAGGCACGGGUCAUGGGAUCAUAUGAUGUGUAGCUUUCCCCUCUCCAAAUAACAGUUGCCUUCCACAUUUUAUGCAUCUGUCAACUUGUGGGCUCUAUUGUUCAGAACUUACAUAUAUUUGGCUAACUCGAACAUUCUAUUUCAACAUGUAUAGUCCAUUUCUUCUAGCAUUUAGCAAUGGACCCUGACCCCAUCUCCCCUAGGGCUGUUCACGUAUAGUGCCGAGCCGAGCUUUAGAUUUUUUCCUAUCAAAACGAGCCGAGCUGAGCUUUCUUAUCGAACAAAAAAUUGUGUUCGAGCUCGAGCUCGUUAACUAACGAGCCAAACACGAGCUUGUUCACGAACAAAUACGAGCCGAGCCGACCCGAGUCAGAAAAAAAUAAGGUCAAACAGCUACUUGACUCUUAAAAUAGCAAGCCAAAUAAAAUUUUUGGUGAGUUUUGAUGGUACCAUAUUAUAGUUAAUAUUCUCCUGAUCGAUUUGAUAUAUUGUAUGUUGAAUUCGGCAUUCAAUAACAUGUUACGAAAUUAUCUGGAAAAUAUUGCAUUUUUUCGAGCUUUAACGAGCCGAGCUCGAGCCGAACACACUAAAAGCUCAGCUCGAGCUCAUUUUCUUAACGUUCGAGCUCGAGCUCGAGUUCUUAACCAACCGAGCCGAACCGAGCUUUUAUCGAGCCAAGCUCGAGCUUGUUCGCGAACAGCCAUAAUCUCCCCCAUACACGCAUUCAUUCUUCACCAUCCCGAAAUCAAUUUGUAAGUUUUACGCAAAAUACAAGAAUGAGUUAAGUUCGUAGAUCACGGGAAGAUCGCGACGUCACUGAAUGAAUAUCCUGCUAAUACCUUAUCCCUGUAAGUACAAUUUAGGGUCUAUCAUGUUUAGGUUUUUAACAUGUAGGUUGAGGAUAUGCUUUUUCUUAUAUCGUAAUUUAUUUACUUCUCUUGUUACUAUUGUUUAGUAUUAUGACUAAAUUAGGGUUUGAACAUGCAUAAAUUAUGUUUGACUUUGUUAAAGUUGGGAUUUUUUUACUUAUGCUGGUCCUAUAUUCUUGUAUAAAAGUCUCUGUAGUGUUAGUUGUACAAUAUGAGAAUUUUGUCCCUCACUUAUGUUUGUUUCUCUAUUUUUCAUCAUAAAAGUUGUUUACUAUAAAUUACGUCAUGGUGAGGUUAUGACUGAUAACACCAGAAGCUAUAAUGAUGAGGAUUUCGAUUAUAUUGACCGUUGUGAUGUAGACCUCAUGAGUAUAUUUGAGUUAGGAAAUAUGCUGAUAGAAUUCGGUGUGUCAGGGUUCAAAUAUACUACAACAAGUUUCCUAAGACUAAUUGGAUUAGAGAUUUGUGGAUAUGGAUAAUGAUGCAGAUGUGCUUGAUAUGUGUGAAUUUGUGUCACCCUUUAAGGUGGUGUAUGUAUUUGCUAUAAAAAUUGAGCCUGUUAGGUCCUGAAAUGAUUGUAGAAGGGGGUUGAAUACAAUCGUCACAAAUUAAUCGUGGUGGAAUAAUCUGAUUCGUGUUUAACUUGAUAAUCAGAUUUUAAUUAAUUAAUAGAACAAUGUUUAAGUCGUUAUAUAAUUAAUAAGGUUUAGUUUUAAUGUCCACUAGUUCGUAGAAUAAAUUCGACAGGAUGCAUUCUAACUCAGUGGUUAAAACAACCGAGUGAUCAAAGCACAGUAAACUGUGGAUAUAACGAAUAUCAAGUUUAGCACAACUUGAAAGCUUUACAAAUGCAAUGAACACUUACAAAUGAAGAUGGAUGGCCAUAUUUAUAGGAAAAUCCAUGAGAACUAGUAAGACAAUGCUGGAAAAGACAAUUUAAGGCUUGCUAAGACAAUUUGGCAAAUUGUCUUGCAGAAAUAAGCUAGGCAAGACAAUCUGAGAGAUUGUUUAGAGCUUGGCAAGACAAUCUAAGAGAUUGUCUAUUUCGGUAAGACAAUCUCUUGAAUUGUCUUGUAAGAGCACUCGGGAAGACAAUCUCAGAGAUUGUCUUGCCUUGCCAUGGCAAAGACAAUUGAUGUAACGGCAAGACAAUCUUUGGGAUUGUCUUACCGUGUCCUGAAGAAGGAACCAAGGCUCGGAAAGACAAUCCUUUGGAUUGUCUUGCCGAGUUUUAAAAGAAUAAAACAUGAUUUUUCUUAUAAAUAAUUAAUUAAUAUCCCUUGUCACUUAAACAAUUAAUCUGUGGCUUGUUCGUCGAUUCUUCGUCUUCUGAGUUCUUCUUCAUAAGUAGACACAAUGUGGAAUCUUCUGAAUAAAUAAAGUAUUUAAACAUUAUACCUUCUGGUCUUUUGAACGUGCUACAAAAAAUUAUUUGUACACUGAGGCUUGAACAUAUUAAUGAACUUCUUCCAGUGGUUUGUAGCUGCAUCCUGAAAUUCUUCUGACAUAAAACCUUCAAUAAAUCAUUUAACGUUCUUCGUACGGAUUUCGAUUAACAUUACUUGCUAUUUACUUUGCUUUCUUAUCAGAGUUGAGUUGAUACCUCUUUAAUUACAAAUAGGCUUAACAUAUGCCUUUCAGAGCCUUUAGUGAUUUUACCUUAUGAGGAGAUGGAGACUUAAAGAAUUUAAUCUCUCACAAGAUCUAAACUUAAAAUUUGUAGAUAAUGACAAUGAAAAUGAUAGGGAAUUUGUAGAUAAUGACAAUAAUAGAGAAGUUUUUGAUGAUCUGGGGAAUAAUAAUGAGGAAGGAUUUGCAGAAAAGUGGUGAGGAUCUAGUGACUCUGAAGAUGAGGACUAUGUUGUAGGUGAAGAAACUGAUAGAUCUUUUCAUUUAGACUCUUCAAACAUGGACAACAAUGAUGAGGAUGCAACCGAACAUAAGUAACAGAAAGCAAAACAAGCUACUAAAGAGAAUGUUUUUAGGGAAAGGGGAAUGUUGGUUGGGAAAGGAAGAAUGUUGGUGGGGAUAGGGAAGAUUGUUGCAGAUAAGGGUAAGAAAGCUGUUGGUCAUUCAGUUCGAACACGUCUGCGAGUUUGAAUUUGUGGCUCGAGUUCAGCGAUGUCAAAUUCUUGAUGGUUGUACCCUUCAGCUCGUAUGUGAUGGCGGGUCGGUUUCAAUAGAUGAUAAUGUAUUUAACAUAGUAAAGCAUGCACACGUACAUCGUAUUCAUUGCACUGAGCAUGCACCCAACCUUCCGGCAUGAUAAAUGAACAACCUUCAAGUAAAUAAAAGUAGGCAUUGCGAGGAACAGAGUUAUCUACGUUAGACACUUUACAAGCAUGUGUGAUAUGACUCGUGAAAUUGUAGUAAUUAAAAAUUUUCCUACAACUAGAUAACUUAGCAUUUGUUCAUUUGCGUCUAAUUUGUCAUUCUUGUUUUUCUUCUUUUUAGUUGCACUAGUUCUUCAUAAUCCAAACCUUUCAGAUUCAUCUUUUACAGGGGGACUAAGAGGUACUAUUGAUAAUUCGUAUUCUAGUUGAGGUUCAAAACUUCCUCAUUUCUUAAUUCCUCUUCUAUGAUCAGAUCUUUCUCAUCUAGAGUUUCGGGCACUUCUCUUCUAAAGAGAGGGUUCUUGGAGUUUUUAAAGAUUAUAGGUACAUUUAUUUCUUCUGGUGGAUUCUCAGUGCUAGCGGAAACAAAUGUACUUUCAUUUUCUUUUCUUUUCUUCCUUUUAGAACUUUCCAAAGAACUGUAGACAAGGACGAUAACAAUUUUCUUUUCUAUCAGUUGACUAUCCAAGAUCUCUUUUUAGAGGUGGGCUGAGUUUUAAUAGGCUAUAAUCUUAGUUUCAAGGUCAACUAUCUUAGACCUAGGGGAUUCCUCAAUUUAUACGUUAUACUUUUCCUUAGACUCAAGAUAUUGAAUUCUAUAGUUUCUGUAAGGCAAGAUCAUCUAUCCGUUCUUAUAGUUUAGCUACCUUUCGAGUGAGACUAGUGUUCUCUGACUCUGAAGCUAAUAAUUAACUUGUGUGCAAAUUAUACAUCUCUUGUCCUAGUUUAUUUGUGGUCUUUUUAUAAUCAUUAAAAGACAUGUCGUCAACAGACAUGUGUCAGGAGAUACCUGAGAUAGAGUUUCCUUUAUCGUGUCUACCAUGAGUGCACAUGCAUAGUUACUCUGGACAGGCUCUUCGUCAAAGUUAGUAUCACCCCAACUUUUUUCCUUAGCAAUGUAGGCCCUUCCUUUGUGUUCGGCCAUCAUCGCUUCCAUCUUCACUUUCAGUUUCACAUUGUCUUUCUUCAGAUCCUCAUAUAAAUUAUUCUUCUCAUAAGAGGUGUAUAUUUCUUUGACAGAUGGAGCCGUUUUGGAUUUCCUACACUUAGUUGAAAAGUGACCUAAGUCGUUGUAGUUGUGGCACUUUAACUUGCUAUUGUCGGAUCAUGUUUAGUUUAAAACUACUACUGCUCCUUGAGCGAGACCCUGAUCCCGAAUAACCACUCUUUCCUUGAAACUUACUUUAACAUGCUUUAUUGUAGCGGGGGUUCCUUCUGAAGUUGAUAUGCUUGAACCUUGCAUCCAUAUAAGCCAUGGACUUAUCCUCUAGUUGUUGAAGCUCCUCUAAAGUGUAAAACUCAUCCGUCGGAUUCAUGAAAACUUCAUCAAUUUUAGCCUCAAUAAUCUUAGGCUUUGUAGGGGUAUAUUCAGAUUUGACCGAUGAGUAAUCACUCUUUGCAGAUGAAUACUCAAAUUGGCCAAAGUCAAUUAGUUCUUGAUAGCUAAAGUAUGGCUCAUCUGCUAGAAGUGUAGUAGUCUUUUGCAUAGCCGCACGCUUGGCCACUACUGAUCUCAAACCAUAUAUUUUCUUUUCUGGUCAAGCUCUAUUUCUAAAUUCUUUAGUUUCCUAAACAUCUUAUCUAGGGGCAUGGUUCUGAAGUCAUUCCUUUCGCGGAUGGAUUCAGUCUUUUUGACUAGGUAGGGUGGCAUCAACAAUGCGAAUUUCUGUUUAUCUCCUUUUACAGAUAUACUUUACCUUGAAGAGUCGGUUCAUUCAAUAGUAGCUUGAACAUCCCGUAGAUUUGUGUUGAAAUCAAUUAACUAAAUAUCUAGGGCAAUUGGAUUCACAAUGCUUACACCAAACUGGCUUCUAAACUAAGAUAAUAAAAGUGGUUACGUAGCUAGUGUUGAGUUUGUGUAUGCAAUUUAGGUAUAAUUUCAGUAUACUAGGUGUAGAAUAGAAU